GACAGAGGUGGCAAGCGUUGUUCGGAUUCAUUGGGUGUAAAGGGUCCGUAGGUGGUCUAGUAAGUCUGGUGUGAAAUCCCAUGGCUCAACCGUGGAACUGCAUUGGAAACUGCUGGACUUGAGUACCGCAGAGGUAAAGGGACUUCCCGGUGUAAGGGUGAAAUCUGUAGAUAUCGGGAGGAACACCAGUGGCGAAGGCGCUUUACUGGGCGGUUACUGACACUGAGGGACGAAAGCAAGGGGAGCAAACAGG
Molecule: ribosomal RNA, 253 nt
Filed under: uncultured bacterium
Lineage: Bacteria
Description: partial 16S ribosomal RNA
Rfam family: Bacterial small subunit ribosomal RNA
Source: RNAcentral